AUUGAACGCUGGCGGCAGGCCUAACACAUGCAAGUCGAACGGUAGCACAGAGAGCUUGCUCUCGGGUGACGAGUGGCGGACGGGUGAGUAACGUCUGGGAAACUGCCCGAUGGAGGGGGAUAACUACUGGAAACGGUAGCUAAUACCGCAUAACGUCGCAAGACCAAAGUGGGGGACCUUCGGGCCUCACACCAUCGGAUGUGCCCAGAUGGGAUUAGCUAGUAGGUGGGGUAAUGGCUCACCUAGGCGACGAUCCCUAGCUGGUCUGAGAGGAUGACCAGCCACACUGGAACUGAGACACGGUCCAGACUCCUACGGGAGGCAGCAGUGGGGAAUAUUGCACAAUGGGCGCAAGCCUGAUGCAGCCAUGCCGCGUGUAUGAAGAAGGCCUUCGGGUUGUAAAGUACUUUCAGCGGGGAGGAAGGCGGUGAAGUUAAUAACUUCACCGAUUGACGUUACCCGCAGAAGAAGCACCGGCUAACUCCGUGCCAGCCGCCGCCUAA
Molecule: ribosomal RNA, 503 nt
Filed under: uncultured bacterium
Lineage: Bacteria
Description: partial 16S ribosomal RNA
Rfam family: Bacterial small subunit ribosomal RNA
Source: RNAcentral